CUGCUGCCUCCCGUAGGAGUCUGGUCCGUGUCUCAGUACCAGUGUGGGGGACCUUCCUCUCAGAACCCCUACGCAUCGUCGCCACGGUGGGCCGUUACCCCGCCGUCAAGCUAAUGCGCCGCAUGCCCAGCCGCCACCGGAUUCCUCCUUUCGCCCGGACCAGAUGCCCGGUCCGGGCGGCAUGGGGUAUUAGGCCGGGUUUCCCCGGGUUAUCCCCCUGUGGCGGGCAGGUUCCAUACGUGUUACUCACCCGUGCGCCGGUCGCCGGCAGGUGCAGG
Molecule: ribosomal RNA, 278 nt
Filed under: uncultured bacterium
Lineage: Bacteria
Description: partial 16S ribosomal RNA
Source: RNAcentral